RNAcentral lists this ribosomal RNA (499 nucleotides) under uncultured bacterium. Its description in RNAcentral is "partial 16S ribosomal RNA". It matches the Rfam family "Bacterial small subunit ribosomal RNA", at positions 28 to 507 of the family's 1533-position model. The record is from RNAcentral.
GACGAACGCUGGCGGCGUGCCUAAUACAUGCAAGUCGAGCGGACUUUCAAGAAGCUUGCUUUUUGAAAGUUAGCGGCGGACGGGUGAGUAACACGUGGGCAACCUGCCUGCAAGACGGGGAUAACUCCGGGAAACCGGGGCUAAUACCGGAUAAUAUCUUCCUUCGCAUGAAGGAAGGUUGAAAGGCGGCGCAAGCUGCCGCUUGCAGAUGGGCCCGCGGCGCAUGGGCUAGUUGGUGAGGUAACGGCUCACCAAGGCGACGAUGCGUAGCCGACCGGAGGGGGGGAUCGGCCACACUGGGACGGAGACCCGGCCCAGAGGCCUACGGGAGGCAGCAGUAGGGAAUCUUCCGCAAUGGACGAAAGUCUGACGGAGCAACGCCGAGUGAGCGAAGAAGGUCUUCGGAUCGUAAAGCUCUGUUGUCAGGGAAGAACAAGUACCGUUCGAACAGGGCGGUACCUUGACGGUACCUGACCAGAAAGCCACGGCUAACUACGUG